UUGCAUAUCAUAGAGCGGGAGAAAUGCAGAUAGAACCAGAUG
This 42-nucleotide small RNA is filed under the name Protocruzia adhaerens. RNAcentral's name for it is "Protocruzia adherens partial Mitochondrion-encoded tmRNA". The record is from RNAcentral. Lineage: Eukaryota; Ciliophora; Spirotrichea.